This 4778-nucleotide long non-coding RNA is filed under the name Cucumis sativus (cucumber). Its description in RNAcentral is "long non-coding RNA (CSAT_LNC001525)". Lineage: Eukaryota; Viridiplantae; Streptophyta; Magnoliopsida; Cucurbitales; Cucurbitaceae. The record is from RNAcentral.
CAAUGUAGAAGGAAAGGUUCGUCGAGAUUAUUGAAGACGUUAAUGACUAAGUUAUUGUUGGACGUGGAGUUUAUAUUAGGUCCGGGGAAUUGACCAUUGAUGAGAAUGCCUUGUUGGGGAACGCCCAAGGGAGAGAUGGUGCCAUAGGUGACAUUCCAUGUGAAGAAGAAAUAAGGGUCUUCACCCCGGACCGUCACUGUCAUUGCUGCAGCCGAGAGGCAAAGCAGCGCGGUAAACAUCAACCCAGCCAUCUUCUACCUCUCCCUUCUCUCUCUUUCAAUAUUUUUCUUUUCAAAUCACCGCUCUUAUCUCGAGCAGGCUAAGUAUCCCUAAAUGGAUUAUUGUUCGUUCCCUGAUGGCUAAUCCUUCCAAUCCUUCAUUUAUAUACAAUUUCUCAAACAUUUUGACUCCAAGUUUUUUUCUAACUGCCCCCUCUUUCUUGGGGCCUUGCAUAUUUCCCUACCUCUCCUUUUUUAGAAGAGUGCCAACAUCCCCGGUCCAAACUAUAUGUUUCAUUCAAUAAUUAGAUUGGGUUGACUCUCCAAAUAUAGUGGAUUAAUUGAGAGACGAGCUAACAAAGAUUAUUUUCAAUUUUUCACUUUAUUUAAACUUUUUAAAUUCUAGUUUCAUAAUUUAAAUGCUUCCAGUCAAUGUUAUUUCUAACCAAUUAUUUUUGUUUAUAAAGUAAUAUGAUUAUAUUUAGUACAGAAUAACUACAACAAUUACCUGUAACAAAGUAGUCCUAAACUUUCAAGUUUUCAUUAAUGCUAACUCUAGGAAAAAGUUAUAAAAAAACGUACCCCUCAUGGUUUAUAACACUUCCAGGUCAUAUUUGUGUUUUUGAUCAAUUUAAUUCAGUACAGUGCUAUACUCACACUCCAAGAAGGAUUAGUUCGACUCGUUUUUGUCUCAUUAUAUAUAUUUUGUAAUCAAGUUUUUAAUGAGGUUUAAUUUAUUUAAUACAAAUGUUGUUGCAGAAGUGAUUUGCUAUGAAUCCAAUAAAAUUUGUUGUGAUGACAAAUGGUGACCUAGGGUCGAUGUUGACACUUCUCCGGCCAUCACAUCUUCAUCUUUUGGUUUUAGUUGAUGAAUCAAGAGGCCGGGGUGUAACAUGCAAUGGACAUAGCAAGGAAUGAGUAUUAGCAUGAUCAAAAUAUAUAUAAUUUCAUGAACAACGGACUUUUACUGAGUGUUCAAUCAAGAUUUGUUUAUUUUAAUCCUGAAUCCAAUAAAGUUUGUCGUGAUUAACAAAUUUUGACUAAGAUAUGGUGUGUGAACUUUAGUUUUAUGAUUAUACAAUAAAAUCCUAACAUUGUGUAUAAUAAUAAAUGUUAAGAUUUUUGAACUAGAUAGUUUUUUAAAUUAAAUUUAGAUAAAGAAUGUAUAACAUAUUUUGAUCCACGAAUAAUCUUUAGGAUUUAGGAUUUGUGCUAAGGGUGUUCAAUUUGUUUGAAAUUUUCUUAAGUUAGAAAAGAACUAAUUUUAAAAUAAAUUAUAUUUAUAUCCUCAUUUUUCUCGCAUUUUCUUUUAUUUUUCAAUUCUUACCUUACACCCAUUUUCUAAAUAACCAAGAUAAAAAUAAAAAAAUUAAGUUAAAACCUAAAAUCCACAAAAUUUGACCAGGGCUAAAAUCAAAAUCUCAACUUAAAACAUUACAAAGAUAGAUAGUGAAAUAAAAAAGUAGUUAAGUUAUUAACACACUCAGCUAUUAAAAUACAAUUUUGUUAAAAUAUUUAAGUCAAUUCUAGCGGUGAAGUCCCAUUCACAUAACAAACUUAAUUAAACUCUCCAUUAAAGUUUCAAAUUAAUCCACUACUUAACCAAUGAAGAGAUGUUUGAAACACCCAAAACCAAGACCUGACUGCUUGGUGAGUAUUAGUUCAACACUACUUAAUCAAUGAAGAGAUGUUUGAAACACCCAAAACCAAGACCUGAGGGCUUGGUGAGUAUUAGAUCAUCACUACUUAAUCAAUGAAGAGAUGUUUGAAACACCCAAAACCAAGACCUGAGGGCUUGGUGAGUAUUAGAUCAUCACUACUUAAUCAAUGAAGAGAUGUUUGAAACACCCAAAACCAAGACCUGAGGGCUUGGUGAGUAUUAGUUCAUCACUACUUAAUCAAUGAAGAGAUGUUUGAAACACCCAAAACCAAGACCUGACGUCUUGGUGAGUGUUAGUUCAUCAGACACUCGUUCACAAAAUAAGACGAACACACAUAACACUCUUUUCUUGCUCUACAACUCUCUAAAAAUCAAAAUUCUCAAGAAACAAAGAUGUUCCAUCUUAAAGGUGGGGAAAUCCUAGCAAGAACAGUUUGUUACGUCGGAUGAAGUUUUAUUUGACGUUAACAGUAUAUUGCCGGACGGUGGAAAUAGUCUUGGGUUCUUGCAGUGAGGUGGUGCGUUAUAAUUGGUGCGUUAUAAUUGGUUAGAACAGUUUUCUCAAGAUAAAUUAAAGAGAAAAAUAUAAUUGUAUUAGACUAAGAAGAAAAGGGUUAUUAAAGAAUGAGUUGGAUAUGUAAUAUAAAUGCAAACAAAUGAUUGCCCUCUUCCUUAGCUUACACAUAUUUGUAGCUUAUCUAGUACAUACCUUUUUAAAGGAGCAUUAUUAUUGUUUCUGAAUUAUUGAAUCAAGUCUUAUAGAAGUUCCAUAAUAAAAGUAUACAUUUAUUUUUAUUUAAAAACUCAUCAUAUAAAAUCGAAUAAAAAAACAUGCACACAAACAGUAUAUACAAAAAAGAUAUAAUUAAUUAUCAGAAAAUAUUCUUUUAUUGUUUACUCGCAACCAAUCAUAUACAUGAAAAAUCAACCUCUCCAAAAUUACUUGAGGUGUAUCACAUUUUCACAUUUGGAGUGUGGAAUAAUGGUGGAUUUACUGUCUCAAAUAGUAUAUGGCUUGGGCAAUGGCAUGUCCUUCACUAAACCACAGAGUAAAGUGUUGUCGGGGAUGUUAUACUCAUCUCUGAGGGAGCGAGCUGGUGAAAGAACACUGACGUAGAGUUGGCUCCCCAAGUAACGAUUUUCCAACAACUCGGACCUCAAGUUCCACAUUCCAGCAUUGUCAAAUGUAAGAAGUAUGGCUGCCCACGACUUAGGAAAGACUUGGAUUGUAUGCCUGCUCACGGCAUCAAGAAGAUUGUAGUUGGCUCGUUUUUCCGGAGACCAUCUCCCAGGCUCAAUGCUGCAUAAACAUUGAACAAGAAUUCGUCAGUCAUUUCUAAGUUGGGGAUUAAAAUGGGUAACAUAUUAGCACAUUAAUUAUUUAAAACCACCCAGAUACUUACGCAACAGCGAAGAAUGAGUAGCCAUCCAAAUGCCAUGAUUGAAGGCUCUUCUCAUGGUUUUCAAAAAUGAUUUCUAUGAAAUUGCGGAAGGUUGCAUUGACAACAUUAGGAGCGACUGUCACAGUAGUUGCGCCUUCUGCUAGCCCCUCAUCAGAAAUGGUAUCGUACUUGAACACUUUGUCUGCUACUUCAAAGUACUCUGCAAGCUUCAAUGGAGUUUCAGGAUCAACAUGAGAGACACCGUUGAUGGCAUAUCGCAACUUACCAUCCACCUUACUGAUUGAAUUGACAAGCUUGAUGGUACGAGUAAUGUUGAUGGAACCAUAAUGGUAGGAGCCUUGAGGAUUAGGCCUUGCAGCACUGGCAGUGAGGUUCCAACGGAAGGUACGGAAUUGAUUGAGGGACCAAGCCCAACCCAUUGGGGCCUCAGGGAUUUCAGGAGAUGCAGGACCUUUUCCAUCGAUGUAUCUAACAAUGCCUUUACCAACAAGAACGUUCUUAAUAAACCUAGUUGAUGCAACCAUAUAAUAGUCUUUCGGCUCCUGGUUGGCUGUGACUAGCACCGAAAAGCAUUGCCCCACAUGGACAUCAAGUGAUUCGUAAUCGUUUUGCACGGUAUGAGACCCUUCCAUCUCUACCAGCUUCAUGGUGUGUCCUUGGAAUCUAAAGUUGAGAGAUGACUUGAGACCCACAUUGCAAACUCGAUACUUGUAAGUCUUUCCGGGCUUCAUGGUGAAGAGUGGCUCAUCGGUUCCGUCACCCUUUGCACUUUUUCCAUUGAUGAGGACACCAUCGGGUCUAGCAAUGGAGCGACCGCUAUCCAAAAGUUGCUUAAGUGCGGUGUGGCUCUUGGUGUACCAGUCACCAAUAAGGACAGUGUAAUCAUCUUCAGGGUCAGCAUAGGGAACAGGAAUGAGUAAACGACUAUUCACACGAAGGCCACCAAAGCCUCCAGCUGCUCUAUGCAUGGCAGUUGAUGGAUAGUAGAAGAAGCUUCCAAUUUGGUCCUUAACUUGGAAAUGGUAGGUGUAGUUUGUUCCCGGUAGGAUUGGGCAAUUGGUUCCAAGUAGCCCAUCUUGCCAAGAGUUCUUCCUGUGCUGAAUUCCACUCCUGCAAGUGCCAUUCCAAUUUAUUAAUAAUUUAAAAAAGAGUUACAUUAGUAAAUAUGAUGAGAAUACAAGUUGCAGUUCCAUAUAUAUACCAAUGUAGAAGGAAAGGUUCGUCGAGAUUAUUGAAGACGUUAAUGACUAAGUUAUUGUUGGACGUGGAGUUUAUAUUAGGUCCGGGGAAUUGACCAUUGAUGAGAAUGCCUUGUUGGGGAACGCCCAAGGGAGAGAUGGUGCCAUAGGUGACAUUCCAUGUGAAGAAGAAAUAAGGGUCUUCACCUCGGACCGUCGCAGUCAUUGCUGCAGCCAAGAGGCAAAGCAGUGCGGUAAACAUCAACCUAGCCAUCUUCUACCUCUCCCUUCUCUCUUUUUCAAUAUUCUUCUUUUAAAA